RNAcentral lists this ribosomal RNA (571 nucleotides) under uncultured bacterium. RNAcentral's name for it is "bacterial SSU rRNA". It matches the Rfam family "Bacterial small subunit ribosomal RNA", at positions 28 to 600 of the family's 1533-position model. The record is from RNAcentral.
AUUGAACGCUGGCGGCAUGCCUAACACAUGCAAGUCGAACGAGGUUGGCUUCGGCCAGCCUAGUGGCGGACGGGUGAGUAAUGCGUGGGAAUCUGCCUCGUAGUGGGGGAUAACGUAGGGAAACUUACGCUAAUACCGCAUACGCUCUACGGAGGAAGGGGGGGGAUCUUUGGACCUCUCGCUAUGAGAUGAGCCCACGUCUGAUUAGCUAGUUGGUGGGGUAAAGGCCUACCAAGGCGACGAUCAGUAGCCGGCCUGAGAGGGUGUACGGCCACACUGGGACUGAGACACGGCCCACACUCCUACGGGAGGCAGCAGCGGGGAAUAUUGGACAAUGGGCGAAAGCCUGAUCCAGCAAUGCCGCGUGUGUGAAGAAGGCCUGCGGGUUGUAAAGCACUUUAAGUGGGGAAGAAUGGGAUUGCGCUAAUACCGUGAUCCUUUGACGUUACCCACAGAAUAAGCACCGGCUAACUCCGUGCCAGCAGCCGCGGUAAUACGGAGGGUGCGAGCGUUAAUCGGAAUUACUGGGCGUAAAGCGCAUGUACGCGGUUUGAUAAGUCGGAUGUGAAAU